RNAcentral lists this unclassified non-coding RNA (162 nucleotides) under uncultured Beauveria. RNAcentral's name for it is "sequence contains ITS2". Lineage: Eukaryota; Fungi; Ascomycota; Sordariomycetes; Hypocreales; Cordycipitaceae. The record is from RNAcentral.
CAACCCUCGACCUCCCUCUGGGGAAGUCGGCGUUGGGGACCGGCAGCACACCGCCGGCCCUGAAAUGGAGUGGCGGCCCGUCCGCGGCGACCUCUGCGUAGUAAUCCAACUCGCACCGGAACCCCGACGCGGCCACGCCGUAAAACACCCAACUUCUGAACG